UCCACGUCCGCGAGUCGCGCGGGUUUUGG
RNAcentral lists this small RNA (29 nucleotides) under Bombyx mori (domestic silkworm). RNAcentral's name for it is "ovarian small RNA-26707". Lineage: Eukaryota; Metazoa; Arthropoda; Insecta; Lepidoptera; Bombycidae. The record is from RNAcentral.